Molecule: ribosomal RNA, 492 nt
Filed under: uncultured bacterium
Lineage: Bacteria
Description: partial 16S ribosomal RNA
Rfam family: Bacterial small subunit ribosomal RNA
Source: RNAcentral
AGUGAACGCUGGCGGUAGGCCUAACACAUGCAAGUCGAACGGCAGCACAGUAAGAGCUUGCUCUUACGGGUGGCGAGUGGCGGACGGGUGAGGAAUACAUCGGAAUCUACUUUUUCGUGGGGGAUAACGUAGGAAAACUUACGCUAAUACCGCAUACGACCUACGGGUGAAAGCAGGGGAUCUUCGGACCUUGCGCGAUUGAAUGAGCCGAUGUCGGAUUAGCUAGUUGGCGGGGUAAAGGCCCACCAAGGCGACGAUCCGUAGCUGGUCUGAGAGGAUGAUCAGCCACACUGGAACUGAGACACGGUCCAGACUCCUACGGGAGGCAGCAGUGGGGAAUAUUGGACAAUGGGCGCAAGCCUGAUCCAGCCAUACCGCGUGGGUGAAGAAGGCCUUCGGGUUGUAAAGCCCUUUUGUUGGGAAAGAAAAGCAGCAGGUUAAUACCCCGCUGUUCUGACGGUACCCAAAGAAUAAGCACUGGCUAACUUCGUG